CGGGCUGGUCGGGCGACCGCGUUGCUCUCGUGAGGGAGCACCGAGGAAGGUCCGGGCUCCGAAGGGCAGGGUGGUGGCUAACAGCCACCCGGGGCAACCCGCGGGAAAGUGCCACAGAGAACAGACCGCCGGGCCCACACGGGCACGGUCAGGGUGAAACGGUGGGGUAAGAGCCCACCAGCGGCCGAGGUGACUCGGUCGGCUCGGCAAACCCCACCCGGAGCAAGGUCAAGAAGCCACCUCAGGGUGGCGCGCACGCGUUCGAGGGCGGCCCGCCCGAGCGUGCGGGUAGACCGCUGGAGGGUGUCGGCAACGGCACUCGUAGAUGGAUGGUCGCCCCCUGGUCACCAGGGACAGAACCCGGCCUACAGACCAGCCCGUCCG
This 384-nucleotide RNase P RNA is filed under the name Nocardioides bruguierae. RNAcentral's name for it is "Bacterial RNase P class A". It matches the Rfam family "Bacterial RNase P class A". Rfam says of the family: Ribonuclease P (RNase P) is a ubiquitous endoribonuclease, found in archaea, bacteria and eukarya as well as chloroplasts and mitochondria. The record is from Rfam by way of RNAcentral. Lineage: Bacteria; Bacillati; Actinomycetota; Actinomycetes; Propionibacteriales; Nocardioidaceae.